This 588-nucleotide long non-coding RNA is filed under the name Anas platyrhynchos platyrhynchos (common mallard). RNAcentral's name for it is "lncRNA (ENSAPLG00000011962.2)". Lineage: Eukaryota; Metazoa; Chordata; Aves; Anseriformes; Anatidae. The record is from RNAcentral.
AUGGCACUCAUGAAACACAAAGGGCUCUUUGACCUGCUCAAGAGCCAUGGGAAAUACCUGCUGGACACCAAGUUCCAGUCUUGCAGUGGCUCUGCUGGCCACGGCGAUGCUGCACUGCAGACCACCAGGAUUGCCAUCGAAACCAUGCUGGAAGAGCUGGCUCCCAACCUCUGGGAGGACGACCUGGACAGACUGGUGGAUUUUGGUCACCUUAUAAGCCCAGAACUAGAAAUGAGGGUUUUGCCGUCGUUGAUGCACGGCGAAGCCGUGAACAUAGACAUGGCCUUCAUGACGUACGUGGCCCACACGCGGGGGCUCCUCAGCGCCGGCGAGAAGGAGCAGAUCAUCCAGUGCAUGCGGGGCCUGGAGCUGCCUGUCUGGCAUGGUGGCUGCAGCUGGGCCCUCAUCAAGACGGCCCUGAGGGAGCGCCUGAAGCACAGCGGGGGGCAGCCCCGCAUGCCGCUGCCCACCGGCCUCGGCGUGGCAGACAUUUUCAAUGACACCAGCGAGGAGACCCUGGAAAGAGCAUACAAGCUGUGGGUCAGGGACUGCAGGACGGUGCUGGAGGAAGGGCCGGCUGCCCUCUGA